This 380-nucleotide ribosomal RNA is filed under the name uncultured bacterium. RNAcentral's name for it is "bacterial SSU rRNA". It matches the Rfam family "Bacterial small subunit ribosomal RNA", at positions 32 to 391 of the family's 1533-position model. The record is from RNAcentral.
AAUCAACGCUGGCGGCGUGCCUCAGACAUGCAAGUCGAACGCGAAAGUCCCCUUCGGGGGACAAGUAGAGUGGCGCACGGGUGAGUAACACGUAGGUAAUCCACCUUCGGAUGGGGAAUAACAACCGGAAACGGUUGCUAAUACCGCAUAAUGCAGCGGCACCUAAUGGUGACAGCUGUUAAAGCGGGGGAUCGAAAGACCUCGCGUCUGAAGAGGAGCCUGCGGCGGAUUAGCUAGUUGGUAAGGUAACGGCUUACCAAGGCGACGAUCCGUAGCCGGCCUGAGAGGGCGGUCGGCCACACUGACACUGACAUACGGGUCAGACUCCUACGGGAGGCAGCAGUCGGGAAUUUUGGGCAAUGGGCGAAAGCCUGACCCAG